CCUACGGGGAGCAGCAGUAGGGAAUAUUGCUCAAUGGGGGAAACCCUGAAGCAGCAACGCCGCGUGGAGGAUGAAGGAUUUCGGAUUGUAAACUUCUGUUCUUAGUGAAGAAUCAUGACGGUAGCUCAGGAGCAAGCCACGGCUAACUACGUGCCAGCAGCCGCGGUAAUACGUAGGUGGCAAGCGUUGUCCGGAAUUACUGGGUGUAAAGGGAGCGCAGGCGGGAAGCCAAGUCAGCUGUGAAAACAACGAGCUUAACUUGUAGACUGCAGUUGAAACUGGUUUUCUUGAGUGACGUAGGGGUUGGCGGAAUUCCGAGUGUAGCGGUGAAAUGCGUAGAUAUUCGGAGGAACACCGGUGGCGAAGGCGGCCAACUGGGCUUUAACUGACGCUGAGGCUCGAAAGUGUGGGAAGCAAACAGGAUUAGAUACCCGUGUAGUC
This 441-nucleotide ribosomal RNA is filed under the name uncultured bacterium. RNAcentral's name for it is "partial 16S ribosomal RNA". It matches the Rfam family "Bacterial small subunit ribosomal RNA", at positions 338 to 795 of the family's 1533-position model. The record is from RNAcentral.